GUCUGUGGCUGCACCACCCUGCACGUACCCGAUCUCGUCAAAUCUCAGAAGCAAAGCAGGGUUGGGACCUGGUUAGUACUUGGAUAGGAGGCCUUACAACAGACU
Molecule: ribosomal RNA, 105 nt
Organism: Fukomys damarensis (Damara mole-rat)
Lineage: Eukaryota; Metazoa; Chordata; Mammalia; Rodentia; Bathyergidae
Source: Ensembl